AGAGUUUGAUCAUGGCUCAGAUUGAACGCUGGCGGCAGGCCUAACACAUGCAAGUCGAACGGUAACAGGAAGCAGCUUGCUGCUUUGCUGACGAGUGGCGGACGGGUGAGUAAUGUCUGGGAAACUGCCUGAUGGAGGGGGAUAACUACUGGAAACGGUGGCUAAUACCGCAUAACGUCGCAAGACCAAAGAGGGGGACCUUCGGGCCUCUUGCCAUCAGAUGUGCCCAGAUGGGAUUAGCUGGUUGGUGAGGUAACGGCUCACCAAGGCGACGAUCCCUAGCUGGUCUGAGAGGAUGACCAGCCACACUGGAACUGAGACACGGUCCAGACUCCUACGGGAGGCAGCAGUGGGGAAUAUUGCACAAUGGGCGCAAGCCUGAUGCAGCCAUGCCGCGUGUAUGAAGAAGGCCUUCGGGUUGUAAAGUACUUUCAGCGGGGAGGAAGGUGUUGUGGUUAAUAACCGCAGCAAUUGACGUUACCCGCAGAAGAAGCACCGGCUAACUCCGUGCCAGCAGCCGCGGUAAUACGGAGGGUGCAAGCGUUAAUCGGAAUUACUGGGCGUAAAGCGCACGCAGGCGGUCUGUCAAGUCGGAUGUGAAAUCCCCGGGCUCAACCUGGGAACUGCAUUCGAAACUGGCAGGCUUGAGUCUUGUAGAGGGGGGUAGAAUUCCAGGUGUAGCGGUGAAAUGCGUAGAGAUCUGGAGGAAUACCGGUGGCGAAGGCGGCCCCCUGGACAAAGACUGACGCUCAGGUGCGAAAGCGUGGGGAGCAAACAGGAUUAGAUACCCUGGUAGUCCACGCCGUAAACGAUGUCUACUUGGAGGUUGUGCCCUUGAGGCGUGGCUUCCGGAGCUAACGCGUUAAGUAGACCGCCUGGGGAGUACGGCCGCAAGGUUAAAACUCAAAUGAAUUGACGGGGGCCCGCACAAGCGGUGGAGCAUGUGGUUUAAUUCGAUGCAACGCGAAGAACCUUACCUGGUCUUGACAUCCACGGAAGUUUUCAGAGAUGAGAAUGUGCCUUCGGGAACCGUGAGACAGGUGCUGCAUGGCUGUCGUCAGCUCGUGUUGUGAAAUGUUGGGUUAAGUCCCGCAACGAGCGCAACCCUUAUCCUUUGUUGCCAGCGAUUAGGUCGGGAACUCAAAGGAGACUGCCAGUGAUAAACUGGAGGAAGGUGGGGAUGACGUCAAGUCAUCAUGGCCCUUACGACCAGGGCUACACACGUGCUACAAUGGCGCAUACAAAGAGAAGCGACCUCGCGAGAGCAAGCGGACCUCAUAAAGUGCGUCGUAGUCCGGAUUGGAGUCUGCAACUCGACUCCAUGAAGUCGGAAUCGCUAGUAAUCGUGGAUCAGAAUGCCACGGUGAAUACGUUCCCGGGCCUUGUACACACCGCCCGUCACACCAUGGGAGUGGGUUGCAAAAGAAGUAGGUAGCUUAACCUUCGGGAGGGCGCUUACCACUUUGUGAUUCAUGACUGGGGUGAAGUCGUAACAAGGUAACCGUAGGGGAACCUGCGGUUG
Molecule: ribosomal RNA, 1522 nt
Filed under: Salmonella enterica subsp. enterica serovar Monschaui
Lineage: Bacteria; Pseudomonadati; Pseudomonadota; Gammaproteobacteria; Enterobacterales; Enterobacteriaceae
Description: bacterial SSU rRNA
Rfam family: Bacterial small subunit ribosomal RNA
Source: RNAcentral